Molecule: long non-coding RNA, 647 nt
Organism: Portunus trituberculatus (swimming crab)
Lineage: Eukaryota; Metazoa; Arthropoda; Malacostraca; Decapoda; Portunidae
Exons: 2
Source: RefSeq, a predicted model, not a curated record
GGACUUAUUCACUUAUUCACACACACGUACGUCACACAAUUACCACAAUAAUCUAAAUCCCAGAUAUUUAAAGUGAACUUAUCUCCUUCAUUAUAAAGCUAACUGCAUGACUCACUAUCUCCAUUACACCUUCUGACACAGUGACUAUAAUCAUCUGGUAUUUGCUUAACCGAUACUGACUAAUCAAAUGCUGUCAGGGAAAGGUAAACUUACAACUGAGUGCUACACAGGAAAUGGCUCAUAUCAUAACUGAGUAUCUUGACACAUCAAUCCUUAGGAGUUUGCAGUUGAGGGAUGAGGUUGAGGAAUAAUGGUGAGGAUAUAUGUGAGAGAGAGAGAGAGAGAGAGAGAGAGAGAGAGAGAGAGAGAGAGAGAGAGAGAGAGAGAGAGAGAGAGAGAGAGAGAGAGAGAGAGAGAGAGAGAGAGAGAGAGAGAGAGAGAGAGAGAGAGAGAGAGAGAGAGAUUGUUAUGCGUCAUGAGAGGAUUUUAUUUUAUUUUAUACAUAUCGAUUCUUUUAUUCUGUGUUUAUUUCUCUGUGAAUUUUUACAUGUUUUAAAAAGUUUACUACCUGCGUCAUUCUCACUUUUAUACACAUUUGUAAGGAAUUAAGGAAUAAAGUUAUCAUGAGGUCUACUGUCAUGGAUGAU